RNAcentral lists this ribosomal RNA (301 nucleotides) under uncultured bacterium. Its description in RNAcentral is "partial 16S ribosomal RNA". It matches the Rfam family "Bacterial small subunit ribosomal RNA", at positions 509 to 809 of the family's 1533-position model. The record is from RNAcentral.
CAGUAGCCGCGGUAAUACGUAGGGUGCAAGCGUUAAUCGGAAUUACUGGGCGUAAAGCGUGCGCAGGCGGUUUGUUAAGACAGAUGUGAAAUCCCCGGGCUCAACCUGGGAACUGCAUUUGUGACUGGCAAGCUAGAGUGUGGCAGAGGGGGGUGGAAUUCCGCGUGUAGCAGUGAAAUGCGUAGAUAUGCGGAGGAACACCGAUGGCGAAGGCAGCCCCCUGGGCCAACACUGACGCUCAUGGACGAAAGCGUGGGGAGCAAAUAGGAUUAGAUACCCCAGUAGUCCCUGUCUCUUAUAA